Molecule: ribosomal RNA, 472 nt
Filed under: Enterobacter hormaechei
Lineage: Bacteria; Pseudomonadati; Pseudomonadota; Gammaproteobacteria; Enterobacterales; Enterobacteriaceae
Description: partial 23S ribosomal RNA
Rfam family: Archaeal large subunit ribosomal RNA
Source: RNAcentral
AGUUUAUUCUGUUGGCGAAGGUUAAUUCUUAAAAGGAAGGAACCGAAGGGAAACCAACAAGUCCGUAGCCGCAAGGUGUGGGACGGCGUAUUAAUAAUGCGCGGAGUCAGCAGGAUAAGACCCGAAGCCUGGCGAUCUAUGCGUGGGCAGGUUGAAGCGUGCCGAAAGGUGCGUGGAGGACCGCAAGCGGUUUUGAUAUGCAAAUCAUUCGCGUGACCUGCGUAUAGGAGUGAAAGAUUAAUCGAGCCAGGCAUCCGCUGGUUCCUCUCGAAACAUGCCGUAGCAUGACCUGACCGGAGAUCGACAGUGAGGUAGAGCACUGAUUGGGGAAGUGGGUGACGAAAGUCGUCCCUCUCCUGUCAAACUCCAAAUUCCCUGUCAUCUAAGAUGGUCGGAAGUCCGCAUUACGGGGUAAGCUUGUAAUGCGUAAGGGAGACAACCCAGACCGUGGUUAAUGUCCCUCAGUGCAGGC